Molecule: ribosomal RNA, 424 nt
Filed under: Verrucomicrobiota bacterium
Lineage: Bacteria; Pseudomonadati; Verrucomicrobiota
Description: Verrucomicrobia bacterium partial 16S ribosomal RNA
Rfam family: Bacterial small subunit ribosomal RNA
Source: RNAcentral
UGAGGAAUAUUGGUCAAUGGGCGAGAGCCUGAACCAGCCAAGUAGCGUGCAGGAUGACGGCCCUAUGGGUUGUAAACUGCUUUUAUAUGGGAAUAAAGUGAGGGACGUGUCCCUUAUUGCAUGUACCAUAUGAAUAAGGACCGGCUAAUUCCGUGCCAGCAGCCGCGGUAAUACGGAAGGUCCAGGCGUUAUCCGGAUUUAUUGGGUUUAAAGGGAGCGUAGGCUGUUUGUUAAGCGUGUUGUGAAAUGUAAGAGCUCAACUUUUAGAUUGCAGCGCGAACUGGCAGACUUGAGUGCGCACAACGUAGGCGGAAUUCGUGGUGUAGCGGUGAAAUGCUUAGAUAUCAUGACGAACUCCGAUUGCGAAGGCAGCUUACGGGAGCGCAACUGACGCUAAAGCUCGAAGGUGCGGGUAUCGAACAGG